Molecule: long non-coding RNA, 366 nt
Organism: Phyllostomus hastatus (greater spear-nosed bat)
Lineage: Eukaryota; Metazoa; Chordata; Mammalia; Chiroptera; Phyllostomidae
Exons: 2
Source: RefSeq, a predicted model, not a curated record
CGGAAGGCUCCGGAAGCCCAAGGGAGGGCAGGAGACAGGGAUUCUGAUUCUCCCCAGAGGGGCCCAGCGAGGCUACUCUGACAAGGCAACAGUUCCGUGCUCACUAUGGCCGUGUGAACAAGUCUGCCACCUGGGAUGUAAGGAGCAGCGUCCUUCAAAGGCUGGCUGGAGCAUGCCUGUGAUUGCUGGAGCUGGAGCAGCCAUCUUGGACCACGAGGCAGACGCCACAUGUUGAGGGUGACCGAGCAGCAGGAAGGAAGGAAGGGACCUGGGUUCUGAUGUUUAUGGAGCUGCCACAUCAGCCCUGGACUAGAUACCUCCGAGUGUUGCUUGCCUGGAAGAAAAAUAAACUUCUAUGUUGUUUAA